AUGUUGCAAUUUAUCACGUCUAUGAAACUCUCAGAGCAAUUCCUUUAUUUUCUCUUUCCCUCUGUUUAUGUGAUUUAUUUAACCUUCAAUAUACUGUUUUCCUCUUCCUCAUGUUUAGCUUCUAAUUUGUAUUCUCUCAAUCUCUCUCUGUGUUUUGUAUUCUCUGUAUGUGUAAUCUGUAUUCUCACAUUCUCCCUGUAUAACAGGUGUAUUCACAUCUUUACACUACAGUAUUUGGCUGUUGCUACGCCCAUUGGUGACUGGCUUUCUGCAGAUCUAGGCAUUGCCUCAUUUUUAUCUACAUAAGUAUAAAGCACUGGAACAGUUACCUGGAAGAGUGAGCUGCCAUGUCUGCAGGCCAUAGCAUAUUCUACAAGCUUGCCCUAUAGAAAACAUUCUACAGGCAGAGGGUGUACACUGAAUAACUAGGCUGCAGUGAGUGAAGAUGUUGACUUGCCACAUCAAAUUGCUCAAGUAAAUAGCAUUCAGCUUUUUAUACCCAGCUCUAAGAGUAAAAUAGCUCUGAACACAGAUUGAAAGUCUAGGAAAGUCCAACUGUGGUAACCUGGGAUAGAAUACGUUAAUUACACCUCAGCAUUGCCUGUUAAUACUGCUGGUUUUGUAUGUCCAAAAUGCAGUUUUUUCUUUUGUCAGUGGAAAGAAGACAUAAGAAAAUAAAACAGAGAAAGUUUGAUCA
This 697-nucleotide long non-coding RNA is filed under the name Anas platyrhynchos platyrhynchos (common mallard). Its description in RNAcentral is "lncRNA (ENSAPLG00000029419.1)". The record is from RNAcentral. Lineage: Eukaryota; Metazoa; Chordata; Aves; Anseriformes; Anatidae.